Molecule: ribosomal RNA, 454 nt
Filed under: uncultured organism
Description: partial 16S ribosomal RNA
Rfam family: Bacterial small subunit ribosomal RNA
Source: RNAcentral
CGUACACUCCUGCGGGAGGCAGCAGUGGGGAAUAUUGGACAAUGGGGGCAACCCUGAUCCAGCCAUGCCGCGUGAGUGAUGAAGGCCCUAGGGUUGUAAAGCUCUUUUGUGCGGGAAGAUAAUGACGGUACCGCAAGAAUAAGCCCCGGCUAACUUCGUGCCAGCAGCCGCGGUAAUACGAAGGGGGCUAGCGUUGCUCGGAAUCACUGGGCGUAAAGGGUGCGUAGGCGGGUCUUUAAGUCAGGGGUGAAAUCCUGGAGCUCAACUCCAGAACUGCCUUUGAUACUGAGGAUCUUGAGUCCGGAAGAGGUGAGUGGAACUGCGAGUGUAGAGGUGAAAUUCGUAGAUAUUCGCAAGAACACCAGUGGCGAAGGCGGCUCACUGGUCCGGUACUGACGCUGAGGCACGAAAGCGUGGGGAGCAAACAGGAUUAGAAACCCCAGUAGUCCCAUGA